This 429-nucleotide ribosomal RNA is filed under the name Chloroflexota bacterium. RNAcentral's name for it is "Chloroflexi bacterium partial 16S ribosomal RNA". It matches the Rfam family "Bacterial small subunit ribosomal RNA", at positions 355 to 776 of the family's 1533-position model. Lineage: Bacteria; Bacillati; Chloroflexota. The record is from RNAcentral.
UAGGGAAUCUUCGGCAAUGGACGAAAGUCUGACCGAGCAACGCCGCGUGAGUGAAGAAGGUUUUCGGAUCGUAAAACUCUGUUGUUAGAGAAGAACAAGGACGUUAGUAACUGAACGUCCCCUGACGGUAUCUAACCAGAAAGCCACGGCUAACUACGUGCCAGCAGCCGCGGUAAUACGUAGGUGGCAAGCGUUGUCCGGAUUUAUUGGGCGUAAAGCGAGCGCAGGCGGUUUCUUAAGUAUGAUGUGAAAGCCCCCGGCUCAACCGGGGAGGGUCAUUGGAAGCUGGGAGACUAGAGUGCAGAAGAGGAGAGUGGAAUUCCAUGUGUAGCGGUAAAAUGCGUAGAUAUAUGGAGGAACACCAGUGGCGAAGGCGGCUCUCUGGUCUGUAACUGACGCUGAGGCUCGAAAGCGUGGGGAGCAAACAGG